UGAGGAAUAUUGGUCAAUGGGCGAGAGCCUGAACCAGCCAAGUAGCGUGCAGGACGACGGCCCUAUGGGUUGUAAACUGCUUUUAUGUGGGGAUAAAGUGCGUGACGUGUCAUGCAUUGCAGGUACCAUAUGAAUAAGGACCGGCUAAUUCCGUGCCAGCAGCCGCGGUAAUACGGAAGGUUCGGGCGUUAUCCGGAUUUAUUGGGUUUAAAGGGAGCGUAGGCCGUUUGGUAAGCGUGUUGUGAAAUGUAGGAGCUCAACUUCUAGAUUGCAGCGCGAACUGUCAGACUUGAGUGCGCACAACGUAGGCGGAAUUCAUGGUGUAGCGGUGAAAUGCUUAGAUAUCAUGAAGAACUCCGAUUGCGAAGGCAGCUUACGGGAGCGCAACUGACGCUGAAGCUCAAAGGUGCGGGUAUCGAACAGG
RNAcentral lists this ribosomal RNA (424 nucleotides) under Verrucomicrobiota bacterium. RNAcentral describes it as "Verrucomicrobia bacterium partial 16S ribosomal RNA". It matches the Rfam family "Bacterial small subunit ribosomal RNA", at positions 355 to 776 of the family's 1533-position model. The record is from RNAcentral. Lineage: Bacteria; Pseudomonadati; Verrucomicrobiota.